CCUUCCUGGGAAAGUCGAUUUCAGAGUGCUGAACAGAAGGGUAUGAUCGCUCAACCUCAACUACAUGUGGUUUCAUCCCUGACAUUUACUCAGCUCUAAACUCUUGUAAAGGUCCUGGAAGGGGCACGGGAGUUAGCCCAACCGGUCCACAUGUGCUUGUGGGCUUGGAAAAGGCAUUUGACCGUGUCUAUUGCAAUGCCCUGUGGGAGGUGCUCUGGGAGUGCAAUAUUCUUUGCAUGCUACUACGUGCUUUUCGGUCCCUGUGCACAUGGAGCAGAAGACUAGUUCUUGUUGCCAGCAGUAAGUUAGUCAUGUUCACUCCAAGCAUUGGUGGAGGCCAAGGCUGCACUUUGACAACAGUUCUGUUAAUGAUUUUCAAGAAAUUAAUUUCUUUGUGCAGCCAAUAUGUAAAGGGUGUACAGUUUGGGGGCCUAAUGAUCUUGUCCCUGCAAUUUCUGCAUGAUGUGGUCCUGAUUUUCUCAUCAAGCUGUGACCUUCAGAUUCAGAGCUGUGUGUGAAACUUCUAAGAUAAGGCUCACUAUCUCUAAAUUGAGGCCUCGGUUUUUUCAGCCAUUUCAAAUACUGACCGACAAACUGAGGACCUCAGUCAUUCGGUAGGAGCUCAGAAUAGAGCCUCUGCUCUUUUGUAUCGAGAGGAGCUAGUUGAGAUCGAAGUUGCAUUUAGUCGAGAUGCCUCCUGAACACCUGCCUUCCUGGAGACACAUUUGAGUUGUUGGGAAAUUGAAUCCAAGGGAUUAUUUUAACUUGUUGUGGAUAUUUGAUAUUCUGUGGUAUAUCUACUAAUAAGGAGUUUGAAAACAUACCUUUUGCCUUUGAAACCUGGCAUACAUGUACAGUUAGCUCCCCAGAGCCCGUCGUUGCAAAUUCCAUCAUUUGCACAAAGCACAUCUUUACCACACUGUAGUGGCGGGUAGUCCCACCUGUUGAAACAAUCAGGUCUAUUUUAAUUAACCUGUUCCUGGUUUACUGUCCGCAAAACAACUUUAAGCAUAUAAAUGAUACCAUGACACAAUUACAUGUACUAUACAGUGUAUAAGUGUACUCACUGGCAUAGUGGCCCACUGUAACCCUUUGGGCAUAUACAGGUGUACAUGUUUGUUCCGUCUUUACAGGUGGCGUCAUGUUCACAAAUAUGGUGCUCACAUUCAUCCAUGUCCACCUCACACAGUGGGCCGGCAUAUCCAGGGUGGCAUAGACACUCAAAACCAGCAAAGUAGUCCUUACACUUCCCAUUAAAACAAGGCUGAGAUACACAAUCGUCAAUAUCCGUGUCGCAUUGUUCCCCCUCCCAACCGAAGUCACAUUCGCAAUAAAACUUAUUAAAGAUAUCGUUACAAGUUGCUCCAUUUAGACAAGGGUUGGAAUUACAAACAGGUGCACUACUACAACCCAAUUUAAUUAUUUGCUUCCCAAAUAAGUGGAACUGAGACAACUGUGGAGUGUCGUAGACAUCGACAAAAGGAAGAAAUACUCCUCCAACCCUUACUGCACUCAAACAGCCAGUAAAGCUCUCUGCUAUGAAUGACUGAAACAAUGUCAGCCCUGAGGUAUAUCAGGCCUUACAGAUGUUGGGACGAUGAAGAAUAUGAUGAUGCAAACCUGCUAGCAAGCAUCAGAACAGGAUAUCCAUACAUCUCUGUGCCAUGUCUGCCUUAGCAUCGCCGGUAAAAUGUGCAGACCAAACGAUCGGGACUUUCGCAUCUUGUGACACUGGAGCAACUUAAAUCCGUCGAUUGAUGCUUGGGGAAAUGCUGCUGAGGAAACACAAGCUGGGUGUAUAUGGAAGAGGAGAUGGAAGAGCAGGGAAGUCAGGAAAUGCACCACUUGAUGAAUACAUUUCCUUUUCAUCAUCGUUGCUCCAUGCGUCCAACUCCAAAUGUACUGAAUCCAAACGGACGUCCUGUAGGCAGCCUUUGUAAUGUCCGCCCCAAGGGUUAGAGUCCCAGUGUUCAGGAAGUCCACCCAGCCCUUGCUCCGGAUGGAGUCUGGACAACUGGAUGUACUUGAUGCUGAACGCUUCCACCCUUCAUCAGCUGAGGGUGUGUGGCUGAGAGACGUCGCUUUUUUUUCCAUGUUUUCCUGCACGAGACACAGAUGGACUCUUCUCCUGACCUCCUUGUACCAAGAGUUUGUUAUUUUUGUCUAGGGAAUAUCCAUUUUCUGGAGACUGUGGUGACGUUCGCCCCUUUGAGUUCCAAGCAGCUGCCUUUCGCAUUUUGCUUUACCGGGUGGCCUUUGUCAUUUUUCACUUGACAGGGGGAGUCUCAGCUUUGUCUGCGGCCGAGUGGAAUCAGGGGUUAACCGUCUGCUCUUCCUAUGCUGCAUCUGCUAAAUCCAGACAGCCACCCCUCCCAUACUGUUCUACCUCUAAUUUCAGACGCUUCUACCAGGGUUCAAUGCCCUUGGGGCCUUGCUGACGUGCCGUAGGGCAUUGGUCCAAUACAGACACUCAGAUCACUACACCAAUAGACUCUCGAUUAGACAAUUGCUUUAUUAACUCCACUUUUGUCAAAAAUUGCUAUUCCUGCUGAAUCACCAUUUUAUAAGGUAGUUCGUCCUAUGGAUGUGCGUCACAACGCUAGUGUUAAAUUUCAUAUGAACAAUGGUUCCCUCCACUUGUCCAGUAAUCAUCAUGAGACCAUACUUUUUUGUGAUUUCCUCUCUAUCUGCACCCUUAGUUCUAGGGCUUACGCGGCUAAGUAAACAUAAUCCCUAUAUUAAUUGAAUAUGUUUUUUCAUUCACACUGCUUCAUAUCUGCGUUUCUGGCCACAUCAUCUCGCAUUGCCACACCAGAAGAGAUUGCUAUUUCACUACGUUCCGUCCUCCUAUUAUGAUCUUCGGGGGAUUUUUUUUUUAGCAAAAAUAGGGCUUGCUUACUUCCACCUCAACAUUGUAUUGGUCUCGUACCGGGCACCAUCUUACCAUCUUUAUACCUUACGAGCUGUCUUAUCAGAAGGAGUGUAUUAUAGGAGUAUUUUUCUUCCGGCUCGCUUCAGCCGUAAUUUGCAGACAUUUUUUAAAAUCUAGAAUAUAAACAAAUCUGUUCACCCGAGUAUAGAUUAUCACGCCCACAACAACAUCACUGUUAAAAAUAAAUAUUCAAUAUGUUUAUUAGAUAAGAUUUUUUUUUACAAAAGUUAACCAGACUUUUCCAGAUUUGAAAGGGAGUUGAGUGGCAGACUGCCUUCCAAACCCCUCUCGGACACUUUGAGUACCUCGUCAUGUCCUUUGGUCUCACUAAUACCCCCGCAUAUUGGAGAGGCACAUCCAGCACAUGUGGUUAGUCUUGCAGAGGCCCUUCCAUAAUAGGCUUUUUGUUAAGGUCGGGAAGUGUUCUUGUUACUGCACAUCUGUUUCAUUUUUGGGUUUCUAGUGGAGGAUGAAAUGAAAACCGAUCAAAAUAAGAUCGGGUGGCCCACUCAUACAACCAAGAAGCAGCUUCAAAGGUUUCUUGACUUCAAUAAUUUUUAUAAACUCUUUAUUCUGAAUUUUAGCCUAAUCGCUGAACCCGUAACAAGGCUCACACCGUCUAAAGCUACAUUUAUGUAAACCCAUUGGUGGGCGGUCAGGUCCUUCAAGGACUUCUCUGCUGGACUAACAUAAAUCAUGAUCAUAAAUUGAGAAAAGUUCAUUUAAUUUGAUUUACUUCACCUAAAUAUAUACAAUUAUAAAUCAUAUUCUCUUUAUGUCAUAUUAAGCUCCAGUGUUCCUGUUUGUACGUCGGAGCUUUUAUCCAAUCAGAAUUAUGCUAGCUUGUUUUGCAAGCACUGUAUGAACUCUGCUGGAGGCAUUCUGAAUCAGUUUUUAUUCGAAUCAUCUAAUGGCCAUCACACGACAAAUUACAUUUGAAAGUUGGCUAAACUGUCACCUGAAAAUCCAACAGGACAGGUACAUGCGAAACUGUUGUCUUGAUCGUGACAAGUGGCUCCAUUCUGGCAGGGCUCAGAAUCACACUCAUCAAUGUUGACGGUGCAGUUCUCUCCUGGAUUUUUAAAUAAACACGGUGACUUAGGACUGAAA
This is a long non-coding RNA of Nerophis ophidion (straightnose pipefish), 4042 nucleotides long. RefSeq lists it as uncharacterized. The transcript has 6 exons. NCBI's taxonomy places the organism in Eukaryota, Metazoa, Chordata, Actinopteri, Syngnathiformes, Syngnathidae. The record is from RefSeq and is a predicted model, not a curated record.